Molecule: ribosomal RNA, 253 nt
Filed under: uncultured bacterium
Lineage: Bacteria
Description: partial 16S ribosomal RNA
Rfam family: Bacterial small subunit ribosomal RNA
Source: RNAcentral
UACGUAGGGAGCUAGCGUUGUUCGGAAUUACUGGGCGUAAAGGGCGCGUAGGCGGCUUGGCAAGUUGGAUGUGAAAGCCCAGGGCUCAACCCUGGAAUUGCAUUCAAGACUGCCUUGCUUGAAUUCGGUAGAGGUUGGUGGAAUUCCCAGUGUAGAGGUGAAAUUCGUAGAGAUUGGGAAGAACACCCGUGGCGAAGGCGGCCAACUGGACCGACAUUGACGCUGAGGCGCGAAAGCGUGGGGAUCAAACAGG